UCGGGAAUUUUGGGCAAUGGGCGAAAGCCUGACCCAGCAACGCCGCGUGAGGGAUGAAGUAUUUCGGUAUGUAAACCUCGAAAGAAUGGGAAGAAUAAAUGACGGUACCAUUUAUAAGCUCCGGCUAACUACGUGCCAGCAGCCGCGGUAAUACGUAGGGAGCAAGCGUUGUUCGGACUUACUGGGCGUAAAGGGCGCGUAGGCGGCGCGGUAAGUCACUUGUGAAAUCUCUGAGCUUAACUCAGAACGGCCAAGUGAUACUGCUGUGCUAGAGUGCGGAAGAGGCAACCGGAAUUCUUGGUGUAGCGGUGAAAUGCGUAGAUAUUAAGAGGAACACCGGAGGCGAAGGCGGGUUGCUGGGCCGACACUGACGCUGAUGCGCGAAAGCCAGGGGAGCAAACG
Molecule: ribosomal RNA, 402 nt
Filed under: uncultured bacterium
Lineage: Bacteria
Description: bacterial SSU rRNA
Rfam family: Bacterial small subunit ribosomal RNA
Source: RNAcentral